GAUGAACGCUGGCGGCGUGCUUAACACAUGCCAGUCGAACGGGAAUUAUUUUAUUGAAACUUCGGUCGAUUUCAUUUAAUUCUAGUGGCGGACGGGUGAGUAACGCGUGGGUAACCUGCCUUAUACAGGGGGAUAACAGUCAGAAAUGGCUGCUAAUACCGCAUAAGCGCACAGAGCUGCAUGGCUCAGUGUGAAAAACUCCGGUGGUAUAAGAUGGACCCGCGUUGGAUUAGCUGGUUGGUGGGGUAACGGCCCACCAAGGCGACGAUCCAUAGCCGGCCUGAGAGGGUGAACGGCCACAUUGGGACUGAGACACGGCCCAGACUCCUACGGGAGGCAGCAGUGGGGAAUAUUGCACAAUGGGGGAAACCCUGAUGCAGCGACGCCGCGUGAAGGAAGAAGUAUCUCGGUAUGUAAACUUCUAUCAGCAGGGAAGAUAGUGACGGUACCUGACUAAGAAGCCCCGGCUAACUACGUG
Molecule: ribosomal RNA, 478 nt
Filed under: uncultured bacterium
Lineage: Bacteria
Description: partial 16S ribosomal RNA
Rfam family: Bacterial small subunit ribosomal RNA
Source: RNAcentral